AGAAUCAACGCUGGCGGCGUGCCUAACACAUGCAAGUCGAACGCGAAAGGGGCUUCGGCCCUGAGUAGAGUGGCAAACGGGUGAGUAACACGUGGGUGACCUGCCCUCGAGCGGGGGAUAACGUCCCGAAAGGGACGCUAAUACCGCAUGACAUCCUGCCUUUGAACAGGCGGAGAUCAAAGCUGGGGAUCGCAAGACCUAGCACUCGAAGAGGGGCCCGCGCCUGAUUAGCUAGUUGGUGAGGUAACGGCUCACCAAGGCUACGAUCAGUA
Molecule: ribosomal RNA, 272 nt
Filed under: uncultured bacterium
Lineage: Bacteria
Description: partial small subunit ribosomal RNA
Rfam family: Bacterial small subunit ribosomal RNA
Source: RNAcentral